UACAGAGGGGGCUAGCGUUGUUCGGAAUUACUGGGCGUAAAGGGCACGCAGGCGGCUGCUCAAGUCAGGCGUGAAAGGCCUGGGCUCAACCCGGGAAUUGCGCUUGAGACUGGGCUGGCUUGAGUGCGGGAGAGGAUGGUGGAAUUCCCAGUGUAGAGGUGAAAUUCGUAGAUAUUGGGAAGAACACCGGUGGCGAAGGCGGCCAUCUGGACCGCAACUGACGCUGAGGCGCGAAAGCGUGGGGAGCAAACAGG
This 254-nucleotide ribosomal RNA is filed under the name uncultured bacterium. RNAcentral describes it as "partial 16S ribosomal RNA". It matches the Rfam family "Bacterial small subunit ribosomal RNA", at positions 524 to 776 of the family's 1533-position model. The record is from RNAcentral.